RNAcentral lists this ribosomal RNA (1449 nucleotides) under uncultured organism. Its description in RNAcentral is "SSU rRNA". It matches the Rfam family "Bacterial small subunit ribosomal RNA". The record is from RNAcentral.
GCUCAGGAUGAACGCUAGCUACAGGCUUAACACAUGCAAGUCGAGGGGCAUCAGGAAGAAAGCUUGCUUUCUUUGCUGGCGACCGGCGCACGGGUGAGUAACACGUAUCCAACCUGCCCUUUACUCGGGGAUAGCCUUUCGAAAGAAAGAUUAAUACCCGAUAGCAUAAUGAUUCCGCAUGGUUUCAUUAUUAAAGGAUUCCGGUAAAGGAUGGGGAUGCGUUCCAUUAGGUUGUUGGUGAGGUAACGGCCCACCAAGCCUUCGAUGGAUAGGGGUUCUGAGAGGAAGGUCCCCCACAUUGGAACUGAGACACGGUCCAAACUCCUACGGGAGGCAGCAGUGAGGAAUAUUGGUCAAUGGGCGCUAGCCUGAACCAGCCAAGUAGCGUGAAGGAUGAAGGCUCUAUGGGUCGUAAACUUCUUUUAUAUAAGAAUAAAGUGCAGUAUGUAUACUGUUUUGUAUGUAUUAUAUGAAUAAGGAUCGGCUAACUCCGUGCCAGCAGCCGCGGUAAUACGGAGGAUCCGAGCGUUAUCCGGAUUUAUUGGGUUUAAAGGGAGCGUAGGUGGACUGGUAAGUCAGUUGUGAAAGUUUGCGGCUCAACCGUAAAAUUGCAGUUGAUACUGUCAGUCUUGAGUACAGUAGAGGUGGGCGGAAUUCGUGGUGUAGCGGUGAAAUGCUUAGAUAUCACGAAGAACUCCGAUUGCGAAGGCAGCUCACUGGACUGCAACUGACACUGAUGCUCGAAAGUGUGGGUAUCAAACAGGAUUAGAUACCCUGGUAGUCCACACAGUAAACGAUGAAUACUCGCUGUUUGCGAUAUACAGUAAGCGGCCAAGCGAAAGCAUUAAGUAUUCCACCUGGGGAGUACGCCGGCAACGGUGAAACUCAAAGGAAUUGACGGGGGCCCGCACAAGCGGAGGAACAUGUGGUUUAAUUCGAUGAUACGCGAGGAACCUUACCCGGGCUUAAAUUGCAGUGGAAUGAUGUGGAAACAUGUCAGUGAGCAAUCACCGCUGUGAAGGUGCUGCAUGGUUGUCGUCAGCUCGUGCCGUGAGGUGUCGGCUUAAGUGCCAUAACGAGCGCAACCCUUAUCUUCAGUUACUAACAGGUCAUGCUGAGGACUCUGGAGAGACUGCCGUCGUAAGAUGUGAGGAAGGUGGGGAUGACGUCAAAUCAGCACGGCCCUUACGUCCGGGGCUACACACGUGUUACAAUGGGGGGUACAGAAGGCAGCUAGCGGGUGACCGUAUGCUAAUCCCAAAAGCCUCUCUCAGUUCGGAUCGAAGUCUGCAACCCGACUUCGUGAAGCUGGAUUCGCUAGUAAUCGCGCAUCAGCCACGGCGCGGUGAAUACGUUCCCGGGCCUUGUACACACCGCCCGUCAAGCCAUGGGAGCCGGGGGUACCUGAAGUACGUAACCGCAAGGAUCGUCCUAGGGUAAAACUGGUGA